Molecule: long non-coding RNA, 2353 nt
Filed under: Malus domestica (apple)
Lineage: Eukaryota; Viridiplantae; Streptophyta; Magnoliopsida; Rosales; Rosaceae
Description: long non-coding RNA (MDOM_LNC000035)
Source: RNAcentral
UUUCAAGGAAACUCUUCUAAAAUGUUAUUUUUCCUUGGAUCAAAUCUAAGGAGAUAAAUACUUUAGACGUCUUACUCAUCAACUUACAUUCUUGAAUUCUUUGAAACCUUUUGCAAAGUACUCAGACUUGUGUUUAUUCAAAAUAAACGAUAGUCCAACAGAGAGUGAUAUUCGGUACAAAUGAGUAGUAUUAUGUUGUAGACAAGUACCGCUAACAUCUAAGUGAAUUAACCUCAACAACUUUGUGAUUCUUUAUUCUUUCCAAAAGAAUAAAUAUUCGAACAUUUCGCCUCUAUAUAGUUUUAACAAGAAAGCAUUGGAUCCGGAUCUAAAGAUCCAAAGCAUCCAUUUAUGACCAACUUUUAAUUUAUGUUUUAAGGGUGUCACAACGCAAUGAGAUUAGUCACUAUCUUGCAACCUUUUGGGUUUUAAGCAUCGUUAUAUUCUAAACAGUUAACACUACCACAUCAUCUCUACUAUAGAGACAAUCAAUUAGAUUACAAUAAUCCAAUCAUUCAUUAAUAAAGAAUAACGUUUUGUCAAACAAAACAUUCAUCCAUCUCUUAUAGUGACAGAAUUAAGUUUCUUAUUCAAAUUGGAAUGUAAAGACAAUCUUUGGUUUUCCAAUUUCAUUGGUAGUUCAUAUGAGGAAUUAAGUAUUAUCUGCUUUCGCAAAGAUCUAAAUUUUAUUCACAUUCUGAAUGUGAAGUACUUUCUCUUCUCUCAUUAAUCUUCUACUUCUUAUUAGCCACACUUUUACAACUGUUGUAAAACACAGUUACUAAUACAGAAUCAAGCAUUCAAGUAGAAGAACCAACUAUUUUGAACUUAUUCAAGAACAAUUUACAACACCUUCGAAAGGUGUGUUCUUGACACUUGCAAGACAUUUCUUGCAAAUACCCCUUCCAAUGUCCAUCCUUUCAUAAAGAAAGUUUGUUCCAUUGGAGUUAUUUCGCUUUCUUCAUUUGACUUCUCCUUUGACUACAAUAGUCAUGGUCCCUAAACUCCCACUAUCUCUCUUGAAACUUAUUUCAAUUGUGUUUAUACACAUCAAACGAUUUGGAGAGUGUGCAGUUAAUGUUCACUGUAUAGUUUACAAUAAACUUAGUGAACCAUUUGGAUAGGGACACAAAGGUGAACUCCUUGCCUAGUUUCCGUCUCUUGAAGUGGUUUAACACUUCAACACUCAAUGAUUCAAAAUCAUCAUAAGUCCAUGUUGAUGGACUAUUUUUGUCAAUCAACCAUUAUGUUCUAAACAUAAUUACAAACUUUCAAGAAUUGUUCAAGGCAACUCUCAUUUCUUCAUACAAAAAUUUGUAAGUGAAGAAUCAUGGCACAUAAAGUGUCCAUGCCCUUGUGCUUACUUCUCAAGUUCCUUGUUCAUUUAACAAAGAAACAAGCACUAGUGUUUGCGUUAACUAAGGGUUGUUCAAAGCAACUCUUAUUUCUUCAAUCAACGAUUUGUAAGUGAAGAAUUGUGACACUAAAAGUGUUGUCCUCUUUAUGAUAGACUUAUCUAACAUGUUCUUCCAAUGAUACAUUAUCAAUCGGAAGAUUGUGAGAAUGAGACUACUUAUGUACAUAUACAAUCCAUUCAAGAUGUUGAUGCACAAAACCGGAGGUCUUGGAACAACGUAAAUCCGACCGUGAACCUGCAAGUAAUGUAAAUAACACAAGAUGUAUCGUGGUUCACCCCAAGGUUUAGGCUACGUCCACACUGAUUGUAUUGUAUUUUUCUGAGAAGUGAAGGAGAGAGAGAGCUCUGAGAGUGAGAGCGUUGAGAGGGUCAAGAGCCUUAGGAAUUGGCCUCCCCUAAUUAUGAGGGUGAGGGGUCCUUUUAUAGAAUAAGGACUCCUCACUUAUUACAUAUUUACCCCUUCCUUUAUUACAUAAUUACAUUUAAGUCCCCAUAGUAUUUAGACGAGGUCUAAAUACGAGGCCCUAAAUAUGGUAUAAACAGUAGUCCCCCAAGUCUUCAGUUAAGAGAGUCUUUUGGCUGGAGACUUGAAAUUCAGUCCAUGUGUAGGCCGAAGUAACUAGAUGUUGUCUUGAGCUGAUGUUCGAUAUGAGGCAGUGCUCAAUCUAAAAUGAUGUUCCACUAGAAGUAUCACACAUUGCGAGACUGCUCGGCUCGUGGCUUAUGUUGCCUUGGUUGGCUCGGCUUGUGGCGUUUGAAGGUGAGGGAGUCCCUUUUAUAGAAUAAGGGCUCGCUCCUCAAUACAUGAAUGAUGGGUUAGAGUUGAUGCUCGUGGCGAGGCGGUUGCUCAGUAGGCGACGAUGCUCUCUAAUGAUGGUGAGGGAGUCCCUUUUAUAGAAUAAGGGCUCGCUCCUCAGUACAUGAAUAAUGUGCUAG